This 498-nucleotide unclassified non-coding RNA is filed under the name Plagiobothrys kingii var. harknessii. RNAcentral's name for it is "partial external transcribed spacer". The record is from RNAcentral. Lineage: Eukaryota; Viridiplantae; Streptophyta; Magnoliopsida; Boraginales; Boraginaceae.
GUUUAUUGUUGACUUGAGGGUGGGUAAUGCAAUACGUGCAGGCGCAUGAGUUGUGGUUUGCUUGUGUUGGUUGGUUGGAUCCUUGCUCUGGCAACGACGUCCAUCCUCACAUGCAUCUUCAGUUGUGUCUCGUGAUANAUAUUAUCUCGAGCGUUGCCUUGGUUUCUUGUGUUGCGUACCUUAUACGAUGGCAAUCGGUAGUCUUAANGUCCCAUUUCGCCUUUCGUUGUCCCUUUUUGGGGCGACGUGGGGUGAACCAUGAAGUAAUCCCUGUGUCCCGCUCCACUCACAUUCAAUUGUGCCUGUGGAUUGGUCCAUAGGGUAUUCGCUCGGGCUCUUGGAUGCGGUGCAUUACAUAUGGGCAUGAGGUCUCACGUCCUCUUUUGUGCCCGAACAAAAGCUUUCAUCGCUUAGUUGCGAACGAUUGCGUUCCCCGUCUCGAGCCUUUCGGCAAGUGCGGUGCUCGCUUCGUUGAGGAAUGCUACCUGGUUGAUCCUG